Paramormyrops kingsleyae is the source of this 2979-nucleotide RNA transcript. It is a transcript of the gene named RNA-binding protein with multiple splicing, with no coding region annotated. NCBI's taxonomy places the organism in Eukaryota, Metazoa, Chordata, Actinopteri, Osteoglossiformes, Mormyridae. The record is from RefSeq and is a predicted model, not a curated record.
GGAGGUUAGGUGUUAAUUAUUGACCAGUGGGAUGAGAGCUAUGCUGCAGGCUGAAAAAUGGCUGCCAUACGGACCAGCUUUCCACCUUGUGGCACCAAGAAGUUUGCUCCUAGGACUUUGCUGUCAGGUCAAAACGCUGUUUGUCAGUGGCUUGCCACUUGACAUCAAACCUCGAGAGCUUUAUCUCCUCUUCCGACCAUUUAAGGGAUAUGAAGGUUCCCUGAUCAAACUCACUUCUAAGCAGCCUGUUGGAUUCGUCAGCUUUGACAGCCGAUCCGAGGCCGAAGCGGCGAAGAAUGCUCUGAACGGUGUCCGGUUCGACCCAGAAAUCCCCCAGACCUUGAGGCUGGAGUUUGCUAAGGCCAACACCAAGAUGGCCAAGAACAAGUUGGUGGGCACGCCCAAUCCCCCCCUGUCCCAGCAGAGCACUGGGCCCCCGUUCAUCAGCAGAGACCCCUACGAACUCACGGUCCCUGCGCUUUACCCCGGCAGCCCUGACGUGUGGACCCCCUACCCCCUGUACCCUGGAGAGCUGUCACCCGCCCUUCCUCCUGCUUUCACCUACCCCUCUUCUCUGCACGCUCAGAUUCGCUGGAUCCCUCCCGCCGAUGCCGCCCCCCAGGGAUGGAAAUCGAGGCAGUUCUGCUGAAAUUGGGGGUCCUGAUGUGUGAUGGUGACAGCAGCUGGUCUUGAUGGUGUUGAUCUGAAGCCAAACUGGGAGGAUAUCUGACCCAGCUGACAAUACUGUUGGCAACGGGUCGCUCUCUGGAGUUCAGGACCUUCAAGACCUCUAUCACACAUCUCCCCCCCCCUCCCCCUCCCCCCGAGAAUGCCUGUACCCCCUGCCCCUUUUAUACCGUUACAUGCUGAAAGAUUAUUAUUGUUAUUAUAACUAUUGUUGUUGUUAUUAGAACUACUAUUAAAAUAUCACUCGAAGCAUAAUUUUGCCAAAACAAUGCUGUACAUUUUAGGACAUUUUGAAGAGAACAAACAAAAGCAAAAGGUAUUUUUGUAUGAAACUGAGAUUUUCGUCGUGUUGUAAUCGACCCCAUAUUUAAACGUCCCCUACAACGGGAGAGCAGUUACUGAGUCACGUUAACGUCAGUGGAAAGGGGAUCGACUCGCACGCACGAGACUGACGGGCAUCCUGAUCCAGCGUUAUUCAGCUACGCCCGGGUGCGGAUCCCGUACCGCAAACCUGGAAAUGACCACCCAGGGUGUCCAGGGGUCGCUUGGGAAGCCAGCAGGCAAAUGGCAGGAGGUACGUUUCCAGAAGAACGGACUGGGACGACGUUCGGGAACACGUCUGCGAGAUGGGAGCCACGGCCAGUGACCACCUGUACAAUUUUACGAUACGGGACUUUCAUUGUGUUAUUGGAGGAUCGAGGACCCCAUCUUGGGCGGGCAAGGACCGGACAGGACUGGGUCCACAACCUGUCAACUCACAAGCCAUUUAAACUGUUCCCCCCCAAGAGUAACCUGAUUUGGAAACGUCAAGUCAUUGGCAUGGUGGAUCUCCUUUUGGCUGACAGAUUUAUGGAUGCCGGAAUUAUCCAUCUUAUCUGCAGGUGGUUAGUUGAGGCGGUCUGCGCCUGUGGAGGUUUUGGCCGGCCCCGGUGAGCAUGUGGCCCGGUGCGGCCCUUCUGGUCAAACGGGCAUCACCAGACGAAAGCCUUGCAGUCUCUACACAGCCAGAUAGCCCUUUAGUGGAAAUCAUUGUUUUACCAUCACGGGGGGCAAAAUAUUCAAUUCCUUCAUGAGGCGUGCCUUUCCCAUCUCUCUUAAGUCGCUGUACCUCACACGUCGGUGUGCGCAGACCUUAAAAUAACUUGUGUAUUUUUAGACUUGAACUCCCAAGCAAAUCUUCAUUUUAUUUGUUCCAUAAUUAAUAAGGACUCAGAUCAGCUGCCAAAACAAACUCCCGUGAAGCUGCUCUGACUCCUCACACGGACUCGAGGCAGUCGCAGCACAUACGUUUCGUGGAGCGCCAUCAAACAACUUUGCCGGAAUAAGAAAGCUAUUAUAAACUGCAUAUGAAUUAGAUCUGCCAACUUAAAACCUUUUACUACAGCUAUAAUGAUCAAGUCAAGAAAUCUGUACAUAGAGCUGUUAGAACUGAAUCCUAAUUUGUUACUGAUGGGGCUCAUUGGGGCUGUGACCGGAAGGUGGAUGGAUGGAACAGUUUCCUGUAAAUUAAGAAACGAUCGUUUGUCAUGUGUAUGUCCAGAUUUUUUUUUUAAGCAGUAAAGUCUCCAGCUACUCAAAGCAGCCAAAUUAGAGAGGUCAUGAUUGGGUCUGUAUAACAUGGGCGUGUUUUUUAAUCAUCUAAACCAAAUAAAGAUGCCAGUUGCAGUAGCUUAUAAGGGGUCGUCGUGGUUACUGGUGUCCUUUGGCCUCGAGUGUUUUCUUCUUCCUGAGGAAAGGGGACUGUUCUGGCAAUCAGGCUUGGCCCUCCAUAGCUGGGGAUGGAGGACAUAUUGUAACAGGUUCGAUUGAAAACUAUCUCAGAGGGAAGGUGCUUCAAAAAUCACUCCAGUUUAAUUGCAGAUGAAUUUUCUCUUUUUUUGGGGUCAUGUAUGCCCCCCCCAAAGGGCGUCGGCCCACCCAGCGACAGCUGCCUAUGCGGAUGACCCUAGGGCGCAUAUCCAGGGUUUCCUGUAGCUUCUCUCUCCAAAGAGCCCACCCACUACGUGCUGUAGGAGAGUAAAUCUGACUGAUGCACUUCUCCCAGCCCACCCCUGGAGGCACAGAAAGCUGCCAUCUUAAUUUGGUGCACUGGACUCUGCUAGUCGCAGUGACAUCAGCUGUCCACUAGGGGCAGCGCCAGACGAUCAGAAAAGUCUCGCCCUAUAUUAAGGCUUCUCCGUGUGUUCUGUUGUUCCGUCUCGUCUGGGGACUGCAAGCCCUCGUUAUAUUCCAAGGAUGUAGCUACUGUCAUGUCAUGGAAUCGGGACUCACAGAGGUGCAAAAAAAAAACAA